Molecule: ribosomal RNA, 305 nt
Filed under: uncultured bacterium
Lineage: Bacteria
Description: bacterial SSU rRNA
Rfam family: Bacterial small subunit ribosomal RNA
Source: RNAcentral
GAGUCCCUACGGGAGGCAGCAGUGGGGGAUAUUGCACAAUGGGGGGAACCCUGAUGCAGCGACGCCGCGUGGGCGAUGGAGUACUUCGGUAUGUAAAGCCCUAUCAGCAGGGAAGAAAAUGACGGUACCUGACUAAGAAGCCCCGGCUAAAUACGUGCCAGCAGCCGCGGUAAUACGUAUGGGGCAAGCGUUAUCCGGAUUUACUGGGUGUAAAGGGAGCGCAGGCGGCUUGGCAAGUCUGAUGUGAAAGGCUGGGGCUCAACCCCAGGACUGCAUUGGAAACUGUUAGGCUGGAGUGUCGGAGG